GGCUUCCGGGGGGCGGCGCGAACGGCAAUGGCGGUCUUCUCCCGACGGGAGAGGAGGCUCCGCUGAAAUCGGGUCGUCCGCUACGGCGAAGCGGAGACCCAACGAGGAAAACCCCAGGCAGCAAGAGCCUGGGGUCCUGAGGCUCGGCGGGCGCCACGAGCAGCCCUCCAACUGCAGAAGGAGCCUCGUAAGGGGCUCCGGAGCGUGGAGGGGGGUUGCGGUGCUGAGAGCCGUUUCACAGUCAGCGGAGUGAAGCCGCGCUGCUGCUGCCGGUGAGCGCUGAUCCCUUUUCCUGUCAAAAUUCGGACUUGGAAGAAAAACAACUUAUUCGUGAGUAAAGACUGAAUCACUAGGAAUUACAAAUUUUAAAUGAGAAGGUUUAAUUCGGCUUGAACUUGGCUAAAAGCGGAGAGACGUGGAAACAGGAAGUCCGUCUUCCGCAGCCAUUGAACUUGAAAAAAAAGCAACUAAGGCGGAGGAGUGGAGGCUGAAAGAAAGAGAUUUUAAACUCUACACAGCCAAGCAUCUAUGGAACUUACAAUUUAAAGCAAAACCAGUAAGCUAAAGAUUUGGACUUUUUAUUUGCACUUGACUUUCCCCUUUUAUUGGAUUACAAAUUGGAAGGUGAAACCCAGAGUCAGGACUGCUUGAGCACUGUAAGAGUGAGCUGUCAGUGUUGAUUUGGAUACUGUAUAUUAGAAUUUGCAACAAUCUGAGGGUAUUGAGACCUUUUAGAGACAAAUAAGCACUGUCUGCAACAAAGUGAUUACUUUUAAACUCUGCUUAAUACUUAUAUUGGAAGGUUCUGGGACAUUAAAUCAGACUCUGAAAGACAUCUUAAGCUCCCUCUAGAGGAUUGGACUAAAACAGUGACUUUACAAAUACAUUUACUUUCGAUUCCCUUGUUGUUUGCUUGCUCUGGGCCUUUCUAUUCCUGUGGGAAAAACUCAGUGUGACCUUGACUGAUAGAUAACAUUGGAAUGAGUGGUACAAGAAGAAGAGGAAGAGUCAGACAAACAACUCUAACAACUCUAACCUCAGCCUCGCAGACACGUAGAUCAUCUGUGCCUACUUUGCCCUCAGAAGUACAACUUGAAGAAGCAGCUUUGCCACAGGCAAAAGAGGGAGAGGGUGAAGCAGAGCAGUUACAAUUGGAAGAUAUGGCCUCAGGAGCAUCUGUUUCUGUUCUAGAAAAAAUCUUUGAAAAAUUGGAAGCUUUGGACAAGAAAGUAGAUGCGCAAUCAGCAAAGAUUGAUAAAAAUACAGAUUGUCUAAACAAAUUAACUACACAGGUGGGACAGAAUACACAAGCAAUUGGACAGUUAACGGAGGCCUCAGUAGAAAAUCGAAAAUUGGCUGAGGAUACCAGACAAAAAUUAGAAAAUUUAGAGCAAGAGGUAAGACCACUCACUAAACAAGUUGGGGAACAUCAGACUUAUCUUUCUAUGAUAGAACUGCGAAAUCGUGAGAAUAAUUUGAGGAUUAGAUCAUUACAAGAGGCAGAAGAAGGAAAUCUAACUGAGUUUUUGACCAAAGAACUUUCCAAGUUCUGGAAUUUGGAAGAAAAGGACUUUAAAAUUGUGUCAGCUUUCAGACUUGGAAGAUUUAUAAAGAAGGAGAGGCCCAGGGAUUGUUUGAUUACAUUGAGAUCGAAGGAGGAAAGGGAUAAGAUUUUGGGUCUACAUUACGAAAAGUCACUGGAGGUUUUGGAUAGAAGAAUUGAGAUAUAUAAAGAUAUUCCAAGACAACUGUUGGAUCUCAGAGCCGCCUACUCUGAACUUGCUAAAUUAUUAAGGAGCAACGCAAUUCCAUUCAGGUGGGAAUUUCCCCAAGGAUUAUCUUUUACCUUUAGAGCGAGAAAGGUCAAAAUUAGAACAUUGGAAGAGAGAGAUAAAUUUCUGGCUACAUACGGAGAGGACCUACAAAAAGGAAUUGAACUACCUUCUGGGCCUGGGGCAAAGCCAGCAUUAAUACCUGCACCUGGGGAACUUGAAGAUCCAGAGAAGACACCACCCCGGGAGAAAUAACCAGACAGAUCCAGGAUGUCUCUGCAACUGUUGAGCUGGAACAUUAAUGGUUGUAAUAUUCCGGAGAAAAGGAAGAAAAUAUUUCAUAUAUUAAAAAAAGAACAAUUGGACAUUAUCUGUUUACAAGAAACACAUGUGACGAGGCUCCACAGAAAAGUGCUAAUAAAUAAAAGAUUGGGCCAGGAAUUUAUUUCGUCGGACAAAGUGAAGAAGAGAGGAGUGGUGAUAUAUGCAAAAGAGAGCCUGUCACCUAAAUUUCUAUUUAAAGAUGAACAUGGAAGGAUUUUGGCUAUUGAGAUACAAUAUCAAGGAGAGAAACUGCUGAUAUUAGGAAUCUAUGCACCCAAUGAAGGGAAAUCGGAAUUUUACAAGAAGUUGCAGGGGACAAUGCUGGAUCAUCUGGAUUACAACAACAUCAUAAUGAUGGGAGAUAUGAACGGGGUCGUAUCAACUAACAUGGACAAGUCGCAAAGUCAAAAUGUCACAAAAGAUGGCAGACUACCUAAAACCUUUUUUGAAAUGACUGACAAUAUGGACUUGAUUGACAUUUGGAGAACAAAGAACCCACUAGGUAGAGAAGGAACAUUCUUUUCUGAAGCCCAACUGACCUGGACAAGAAUCGACCAAAUAUGGAUUUCUAGAGGCCUGGCACCUAGGGUUAGAAAAGUGGAAAUCUGCCCAAAGACCUGCUCUGACCACAACGCAGUAAAGAUGGAUAUGACACUACUACCAACUGGAUCCUUUAGAUGGAAGAUGAAUGACAAUUUGUUUAGAGAUCAGGAAAUUACCAAGAAGGCCCAAAAAGUUUUGAAAGACUAUUUCGAGAUAAACAUGAAUAAUUCGGUGGAAAAAGAAUCGUCUGGGACGCAAGCAAAGCUGUCAUGAGGGGAUUCUUGAUACAACAGAAUGUAGUAAGGAAAAAAACACAAAAUGAGAAAAAAGACAAGAUCUUGGAUAAAAUAAAAGAAUUAGAGAAGAAAUUAAGAGUGAAUCCAAAGUCACAGCCAACUCUGAGAGAAAUUAAACUGUAUCAAACACAAUAUUCUAAAUUGAUAAAUCAGGAAAUUGAAUGGAAGAUUAAAUUAAUGAAACAAAAACGUGCGAGUCGGCGAAUAAAUGUGGAAAACUGCUAUCUUGGCAGUUGAAGAGAAGACAAAGAUUAAAUACGGUUACAAAUUUAGAGGUCGAUGGAAGAAACAUUCAGAAUCCAGUGGACAUUAGAAAGUGUUUCCAGAGAUAUUUUAAAAACUAUAUACCCAAGGGCCGCAAGACGAAGUCGAGAUUAAACAAUUUUUGGCAAAAAUGGAUUAUCUAAACUGUCACAAGAAAAUAGGACAAUCCUGAACUCUAAAAUAACACGACAGGAGAUUGAACAAGCUAUUCAGAACAUGCAACUUGGCAAAUCUCCAGGGCCAGACGGGCUGACCUCCAAGUAUUAUAAGACACUAAAAGACUAUUUGAUACAACCCUUGAUGGAGGUUAGCAAUGAAAUUAUGGAGGGAAGAGGGCACCGGAUUCGUGGAAGGAAGCGUUUAUCACAUUGAUACCAAAGUCAGAAGCUGAAAAGACACAACUGAAGAACUACCGUCCCAUCUCCCUUUUAAAUGUGGAUUACAAAAUAUUUGCAGAUAUUUUGGCAAGUAGAUUUAAAAAGUUUUAAACGAAGUAAUUCAUAAGGACCAGGCCGGUUUUCUCCCAGGUAGACAUCUGUUUGCUAACACAAGGAACAUUAUUGAUAUCUUGGAACUUCUCCAAACUGACAUAAAUACAAAAGCAGUUUUAAUUUUUAUAGAUGCGGAGAAGGCCUUUGAUAAUAUUUCUUGGAAAUUUAUGAUGGGAAACUUAAAAGAGAUGGGAGUGGGACGGGGUUUUGAGAAUGGGAUUGAGGCGAUAUAUUCAGAACAGAAAGCUAAACUGAUAGUGAACAAUGUGGUUACAGAAGAGUUCAAAAUUGAAAAAGGGACACGACAAGGCUGCCCUAUUUCCCCUUUGUUAUUUAUUUCGGUUCUGGAAGUGCUAUUGAACAUGAUUAGAGGGGACCAGUUGGUGGAAGGAAUUCAGGUUGGUCAGAAACAAUAUAAACUAAAAGCUUUUGCAGAUGACCUGGUUUUGACCUUGCAGAAGCCAGAGCCUAGUACGAAAAGAGUAUUACAAUUGAUUAAUGAUUUUGGUCGGGUGGCGGGAUUUAAAUUAAAUAAACAGAAAACCAAGGUUUUGGGAAAAAACUUGACUGAGACAGAGUCAGAACGGUUUCAGAAUGAGACGGAACUUAAUGUGGUUAAAAAAGUAAAAUACCUAGGGGUAAACAUAACAGCAAAAAAUCUAAGUCUAUUUAAGGAUAACUAUGAAAAAUGUUGGACAGAAAUUAAGAGAGACUUAGACAGUUGGUCAAAAUUGAAACUUUCUUUGUUAGGCCGAAUUGCUGCGAUUAAGAUGAAUGUAUUGCCAAGAAUGUUGUUUUUAUUUCAAACACUUCAGGUUUUGGACAAAAUGGAGUGCUUUCAGAAGUGGCAGAGAGACAUUUCGAAGUUUGUCUGGCAGGGCAAAAGCCCAGAAUUAAGUUUAAGAUACUAACUGAUGCAAAACAAAGAGGGGCUUUGCCCUGCCGGACUUAAAGUUGUAUUACGAAGCCGCAGCGUUCUGCUGGCUAAAAGAUUGGCUACUUCUUGAAGACACUGAUGUGUUAGAUUUGGAAGGGUUUAACAAUGUUUUUGGAUGGCAUGCAUAUUUAUGGUAUGACAAAGUUAAAGCAAAUAAGGCCUUUAAGAACCAUAUUGUUAGAAAAUCACUGUUUAAUGUCUGGACAAAAUAUAAAGACUUGCUGGAAAAUAAAACACCAAGGUGGCUUUCACCUUUGGAAGCUAAGGCCCGAAAAGACCCAAUAUGGAGGCCAAAUGGCCAAAAUAUUGGGAAAUACUAGAAAAGAUGGAGACAAUUGGAAAUUGCAGAGUUUGGAGAAAAUGAAAGACAAAGUGCGAGAUUGGUUACAUUAUGCUCAGAUUAAAGAAGUUUUUAAAAAUGACAAGAAACUAGGGUUCCAGGUGGAGAAAUCGAAACUAGAAACAGAAUUGUUAGAACCAAAGACUAAGAUACUUUCAAGGAUGUAUAACUUGCUGUUGGAAUGGAAUACACAAGAUGAAAUGGUUAAAUCGGCUAUGAUAAGGUGGGCACAGGAUAUUGGGCAUAAUAUUAUGUUUGAGGACUGGGAAAGGCUGUGGAGUAAUGGAUUGAAAUUUACUGCAUGUAAUGCUUUGAAAGAAAAUGUAAUGAAAAUGAUUUAUAGAUGGUAUAUGACCCCAGUCAAACUUGCAAAAAUUUACCACCUGUCUGAUAACAAGUGUUGGAAAUGUAAAGAGUGUGAAGGAACGUUCUUUCACCUCUGGUGGACCUGCCCUAAAGUGAAGGCGUUCUGGGAAAUGAUUUAUAAUGAAUUGAAAAAGGUAUUUAAAUAUACUUUCACUAAGAAACCAGAGGCUUUCCUUUUGGGUAUUGUCAGCCAAGGGGUGGCAAAGAAGGACCAAACAUUUUUAUGUAUGCAACAACAGCAGCAAGGAUACUACUCGCAAAACAUUGGAAAACUCAAGAUCUACCCACACUGGAAGAAUGGCAGAUGCAACUGAUAGACUAUAUGCAACUGGCUGAAAUGACUGGCAGAAUCCGUGACCUGGGAGAAGAGAGAAUCGAGGAGGAUUGGAAGAAAUUUAAGAACUACCUACAAAAACAUUGUGAUUUGACUGAAUGCUGAAUAAGAUGCUUGACUAAAUAACUGAGCACCACUUAACCUAGAAGUUUUUAAGAAAAUAAGAAAAACUGUGAAAGUUUAACUCUUUAUGAGAACUAUAAGAUCAUGAAAUAUCGAAGAGAUAUAAGAAUUUAAAUAAGAUGAUAAAUUGCUGACAAAAUGUUAUAAUGAUGAAGGUGGGAGCGGGAGAUGUGAGGAAGUCCAAAGAAAAUGUGAAAUUAUGUUAAGACGAAUGUUAUAUUGUUUAUUACAUUUAUUCCUAUUGUAAAAUCCAAUAAAUUGCUUU
Molecule: long non-coding RNA, 6055 nt
Filed under: Podarcis lilfordi (Lilford's wall lizard)
Lineage: Eukaryota; Metazoa; Chordata; Lepidosauria; Squamata; Lacertidae
Source: RNAcentral